This 433-nucleotide ribosomal RNA is filed under the name uncultured bacterium. Its description in RNAcentral is "partial 16S ribosomal RNA". It matches the Rfam family "Bacterial small subunit ribosomal RNA", at positions 29 to 507 of the family's 1533-position model. The record is from RNAcentral.
AACGAACGCUGGCGGCAGGCCUAACACAUGCAAGUCGAGCGAGGACUUCGGUUCUAGCGGCGGACGGGUGAGUAACGCGUGGGAAUGUGCCCUUCUCUACGGAAUAGCCCUGGGAAACUGGGAGUAAUACCGUAUACGCCCUUUUGGGGAAAGAUUUAUCGGAGAAGGAUCAGCCUGCGUUGGAUUAGGUAGUUGGUGGGGUAAUGGCCUACCAGGCCGCCGAUCCAUAGCUGGUUUGAGAGGAUGAUCAGCCACACUGGGACUGAGACACGGCCCAGACUCCUACGGGAGGCAGCAGUAGGGAAUCUUAGACAAUGGGGGCAACCCUGAUCUAGCCAUGCCGCGUGAGUGAUGAAGGCCUUAGGGUUGUAAAGCUCUUUCAGCUGGGAAGAUAAUGACGGUACCAGCAGAAGAAGCACCGGCUAACUCCGUG